Molecule: ribosomal RNA, 402 nt
Filed under: uncultured bacterium
Lineage: Bacteria
Description: bacterial SSU rRNA
Rfam family: Bacterial small subunit ribosomal RNA
Source: RNAcentral
GGAAUAUUGCACAAUGGGCGCAAGCCUGAUGCAGCUACGCCGCGUGGGGGAUGAAGGCCUUCGGGUUGUAAACUCCUUUCAACCAUGACGAAGCGUAAGUGACGGUAGUUGUAGAAGAAUCACCGGCUAACUACGUGCCAGCAUCCGCGGUAAUACGUAGGGUGCGAGCGUUGUCCGGAAUUACUGGGCGUAAAGAGCUCGUAGGUGGUUUGUCGCGUCGUCUGUGAAAUUCCGGGGCUCAACUCCGGGCGUGCAGGCGAUACGGGCAUAACUUGAGUGCUGUAGGGGAGACUGGAAUUCCUGGUGUAGCGGUGAAAUGCGCAGAUAUCAGGAGGAACACCAAUGGCGAAGGCAGGUCUCUGGGCAGUAACUGACGCUGAGGAGCGAAAGCAUGGGUAGCGA